Non-coding RNA from Schistosoma mansoni, 76 nucleotides. Lineage: Eukaryota; Metazoa; Platyhelminthes; Trematoda; Strigeidida; Schistosomatidae. The record is from Rfam.
AGCUCUUGGGAUCUGUGCCGAGAUUUCGUCAGACACCAGACCAUAAAUACUGAUGAGACUCAAGAUCAGUUAGGCG